AUCAGUCAUCUGAGUCCAGGGAGUACACAGGUAUCUUGAAACACACCUGCAGGGACCUGCUUCUGAAAAAGAUAAGACAUGGACCAGAAUCCGGAACAAACGCUCAACAGCACUGUGAAGGCCUGGGUGAACAAUACUGUGCAAGCCCCGGUGGACAAUACUGUGGAGCCUCCAGUGGACAUCACUGGGGAGGCUCCGGUGGAGAAGUUGAAUGACGUUAGAGAAGUCCAUUUUCAGACAAAACUUUCAGCUGCCAUGUUACAUAUUGCAAGUCUCCAAAAUCCUGUCUCUGAAGACUCAUCGCAGUUAUCAGAUACAAUGCAAGAUGCUUCCUUGGAGGGGCCGUUCGGCUUGGGGCCUCUGGUUUUCCCUUCUUUGCAGCGUUUCAACAACAUUAACUAUUUCCUGAUCUCGUUCUGUAUAUUAUCCCUAUCUCAAGGUACUAUAUCUGGUCUCACUCGUGUGAGUACUGGAAAUUUUGAGAAGGAUUUUUAUCUGUCAAGGGCAGAGAAAGUUAUAUUGACCAUCUCUUAUGAUCUGGCAUCUUUAUUGGUAGCAAUACUUGUAGCGCACUAUGGAGGUAAAGGGAGCCGGUCAAAAUGGUUGGCAGCAGCUGCCCUUCUAGUAGGGCUCGCAUCAAUCUUAUUUGCCGUUCCAUACUUGAAAUAUGAAAUUGUACGUCCAGUGGAAGAUAGUGAAGAGUUGUGCAUAGAUGAAGAAGAAAGAACAAUGCCAGAUUGUGAAGAAAACAUAGUACCAUUCAAAUCAGAAAUUAUCAUUUUUUCCAUCAUCGGGCAGUCUCUUCAGGGAAUUGCAGGAAUGCCGAUGUAUAUCCUUGGUGUAACCUAUAUUUAUGACAACAUUUCCACAUACAUGGCUGGCAUCUAUUUAGGUAUCGCGGAUGCUGCAUUUGUAUUGGGAUAUGGUCUGGGCUAUGCAGUAGGAUCUCCAAACCUUAGGCCUUCAUUUAAUCACAGUUCGGAGGAAGAGGUAAAUGACAACUUUCUUCUGUGGCAGUUCAAUUGGUUUGUUGGUUUUCUGUUUGCCACUCUGCUCGCAUGGUUCACAUUUUUCCCAUUUUUAUGUUUUCCACAUCGUUUACCUGGUGCACACAAGCCAAAGCAACAGAAAGAAAAGGAACCUCUUGCCUUUUACAAGAAGCUUAAGAAUAUGAAAUAUGGAUAUAAUUUACAGGAUUUGUUUCAUGCACUUUGGAGUCUGUUGAGGAACCCACUGCUGAUGUGCUACUCAAUGUGCAAAGCCACAGAGGCCUUGGCUACUAUUGGAGCUGCAGAAUUUUUGCCCAAAUAUUUAGAAAGUCAGUUUUUGUUAUCACCCUCACGUGCCACUCUGCUCACAGGAAUUAUUUUAGUUCCAGGAAGUGCACUUGGCAAUUUUCUGGGAGGUUUCAUUGUUUCCAAGUUGAAAAUGUCUUCUAGAAGCCAAAUGAAAUUUAUAGUGAUAACGUCUAUCAUAUCACUUCUGCUUUUAAUAUUAAACAUUUUUAUAAAGUGUGAAAGAGUGAAAUUUGCUGGAAUCACUGCCAAUUAUGAAGGAACAGGUAGUUUGGGAAACCUCACAGCUCCAUGCAAUGCACACUGUGGUUGUGACCGUUCCACCUAUUCUUCUGUAUGUGGAAGAGAUGAGACUGAAUAUUUCUCUCCCUGCUUUGCAGGCUGCCUUGCUUCUAAACACCUAGACUAUGAAAAGACAUUCUACAAUUGUUCUUGCAUUAAACAUGGAUUGGCAAAUGCAGAUUCUGAAGCUGAUCCCAUUGAUGCCACUUCUGGAAAAUGUAACACCAAGUGUUAUGCAUUGCCUUUGUUUUUUGCUUUUUUCUUUUCUUCAAUUGCUUUUUCUAGUUCAGCUAGUAUACCAAUCACCUUGAUUAUCCUCCGAACUGUACCUCAUAAUUUACAUUCACUGGGCAUAGCUGUGACCUAUACAACUUUGAGAUUAUUUGGAUCCAUCCCUGGGCCACUGCUUUUUCAAUUAACAGCAAGUCGUUCUUGUAUUUACUGGGACAUAAAUAAAUGUGGAGACAAAGGACGUUGUUGGAUCUAUAAUAAGUUAAAAAUGAUGUUCAUACUGAUGGGAUUCUGUAUUUUUUGCAAAUUGGCCACAACCUUCUUUACUCUCUUGGCAUUUUUUAAAUAUAAUGUUUCCAGAGUUGGAAGCAAGAAUGCAAAGAAAAGAAGCAAAAAAUAAAAAAUAAAAGAGGCAAAAAAUAAAAAAUAAUUAUUAACUGAUUUCUUCCUUGGUUUCCUGAACUCUGAGGGAAAGGAUUUGAUGGAGACAUCCCAUUUAAAGGACUGGAGAGCCUGUGAUUGCCCAGGUUCUAAGGACAGCAGUCUAUGCUUUGGAGAUUUCAUAAGAUUGUGGCAAUGCUAUAAUUUCAUAAGAGAAAAUUAUCAUAAAAGUAUCUAUUCAUAUUUUCAUUUUAAUAAUAAAGAAUACGUUUAUGAAACAUUUCUG
This 2475-nucleotide long non-coding RNA is filed under the name Mus musculus (house mouse). RNAcentral describes it as "solute carrier organic anion transporter family, member 6b1 (Slco6b1)". Lineage: Eukaryota; Metazoa; Chordata; Mammalia; Rodentia; Muridae. The record is from RNAcentral.